GACGAACGCUGUCGGCGUGCUUAACACAUGCAAGUCGAACGGAAAGGCCCUGCUUUUGUGGGGUGCUCGAGUGGCGAACGGGUGAGUAACACGUGAGUAACCUGCCCUUGACUUUGGGAUAACUUCAGGAAACUGGGGCUAAUACCGGAUAGGAGCUCCUGCUGCAUGGUGGGGGUUGGAAAGUUUCGGCGGUUGGGGAUGGACUCGCGGCUUAUCAGCUUGUUGGUGGGGUAGUGGCUUACCAAGGCUUUGACGGGUAGCCGGCCUGAGAGGGUGACCGGCCACAUUGGGACUGAGAUACGGCCCAGACUCCUACGGGAGGCAGCAGUGGGGAAUAUUGCACAAUGGGCGGAAGCCUGAUGCAGCAACGCCGCGUGCGGGAUGACGGCCUUCGGGUUGUAAACCGCUUUCGCCUGUGACGAAGCGUGAGUGACGGUAAUGGGUAAAGAAGCACCGGCUAACUACGUGCCAGCAGCCGCGGUGAUACGUAGGGUGCGAGCGUUGUCCGGAUUUAUUGGGCGUAAAGGGCUCGUAGGUGGUUGAUCGCGUCGGAAGUGUAAUCUUGGGGCUUAACCCUGAGCGUGCUUUCGAUACGGGUUGACUUGAGGAAGGUAGGGGAGAAUGGAAUUCCUGGUGGAGCGGUGGAAUGCGCAGAUAUCAGGAGGAACACCAGUGGCGAAGGCGGUUCUCUGAGCCUUUCCUGACGCUGAGGAGCGAAAGCGUGGGGAGCGAACAGGCUUAGAUACCCUGGUAGUCCACGCUGUAAACGGUGGGUACUAGGUGUGGGGUCCAUUCCACGGGUUCCGUGCCGUAGCUAACGCUUUAAGUACCCCGCCUGGGGAGUACGGCCGCAAGGCUAAAACUCAAAGGAAUUGACGGGGCCCCGCACAAGCGGCGGAGCAUGCGGAUUAAUUCGAUGCAACGCGUAGAACCUUACCUGGGUUUGACAUGGAUCGGGAGUGCUCAGAGAUGGGUGUGCCUCUUAUGGGGUCGGUUCACAGGUGGUGCAUGGCUGUCGUCAGCUCGUGUCGUGAGAUGUUGGGUUAAGUCCCGCAACGAGCGCAACCCUUGUUCACUGUUGCCAGCACGUUAUGGUGGGGACUCAGUGGAGACCGCCGGGGUCAACUCGGAGGAAGGUGGGGAUGACGUCAAGUCAUCAUGCCCCUUAUGUCCAGGGCUUCACGCAUGCUACAAUGGCUGGUACAGAGAGUGGCGAGCCUGUGAGGGUGAGCGAAUCUCGGAAAGCCGGUCUCAGUUCGGAUUGGGGUCUGCAACUCGACCUCAUGAAGUCGGAGUCGCUAGUAAUCGCAGAUCAGCAACGCUGCGGUGAAUACGUUCCCGGGGCU
RNAcentral lists this ribosomal RNA (1346 nucleotides) under uncultured bacterium. RNAcentral's name for it is "partial 16S ribosomal RNA". It matches the Rfam family "Bacterial small subunit ribosomal RNA", at positions 28 to 1381 of the family's 1533-position model. The record is from RNAcentral.